GGGCUCACUUCAGCAGCUCAUAAACUAAAAUUGGAAUGAUACAGAGAAGAUUAGAUGGCCCCUGGCGCAAGUAUUCAAAUUUUUUAUAUAUAAAAAAGAUUAUG
RNAcentral lists this small nuclear RNA (104 nucleotides) under Microcebus murinus (gray mouse lemur). Lineage: Eukaryota; Metazoa; Chordata; Mammalia; Primates; Cheirogaleidae. The record is from RNAcentral.